This 947-nucleotide ribosomal RNA is filed under the name uncultured bacterium. RNAcentral describes it as "bacterial SSU rRNA". It matches the Rfam family "Bacterial small subunit ribosomal RNA", at positions 69 to 1012 of the family's 1533-position model. The record is from RNAcentral.
GCAGCGCGGGGCAACCUGGCGGCGAGUGGCGAACGGGUGAGUAUACCAUAGAUAACGUGCCCUGGAGUGGAGGAUAACGCAGCGAAAGUUGCGCUAAUACCGCAUACGAUCUAAGGAUGAAAGCGGGGGAUUCGCAAGAACCUCGUGCUCCUGGAGCGGCCGAUAUCUGAUUAGCUAGUUGGUGGGGUAAAGGCCUACCAAGGCAUCGAUCAGUAGCUGGUCUGAGAGGACGACCAGCCACACUGGAACUGAGACACGGUCCAGACUCCUACGGGAGGCAGCAGUGGGGAAUUUUGGACAAUGGGCGAAAGCCUGAUCCAGCAAUGCCGCGUGAGUGAAGAAGGCCUUCGGGUUGUAAAGCUCUUUUGUCAGGGAAGAAACGGUGAAGGCUAAUAUCCUUUGCUAAUGACGGUACCUGAAGAAUAAGCACCGGCUAACUACGUGCCAGCAGCCGCGGUAAUACGUAGGGUGCAAGCGUUAAUCGGAAUUACUGGGCGUAAAGCGUGCGCAGGCGGUUUUGUAAGUCUGUCGUGAAAUCCCCGGGCUCAACCUGGGAAUUGCGAUGGAGACUGCAAGGCUAGAAUCUGGCAGAGGGGGGUAGAAUUCCACGUGUAGCAGUGAAAUGCGUAGAGAUGUGGAGGAACACCGAUGGCGAAGGCAGCCCCCUGGGUCAAGAUUGACGCUCAUGCACGAAAGCGUGGGGAGCAAACAGGAUUAGAUACCCUGGUAGUCCACGCCCUAAACGAUGUCUACUAGUUGUCGGGUUUUAAUUAACUUGGUAACGCAGCUAACGCGUGAAGUAGACCGCCUGGGGAGUACGGUCGCAAGAUUAAAACUCAAAGGAAUUGACGGGGACCCGCACAAGUGGUGGAUGAUGUGGAUUAAUUCGAUGCAACGCGAAAACCUUACCUACCCUUGACAUGUACGGAAGCCACGANAGAUCGAGG